UUCUGAUUUCAAUUUUGACAAAAUUUGUAGGUAGCGGUGGUGUUUUUUUUUUUAACAUGAGAAAUGCUAACUGUUAAACUGGCCAUCUCUAGUUUUCUUGCAUGGAAAUAAUUCUGACACGUGCCUUCGAUGAUUCCGAUUGAGCUUUAUUAUACUAUACUUGAAGGCUUCUGUAAUCUUUUCUCGUCUACCUGUGAAGUGCUUUCUAAUAUGAAGGCAAACUCACAACAUUCAAAACUGUUAAACCGAGCUCAUCCACUUCUAAUCUUAUUUGGCUUGAAGUCUAUUUUUUGUGCAAUUGGUGUACAUACAGUAUUGAGUUCUUGUUCUAAACUUAUUCAUUUAUGCAUAAUUUGUGCUGCCUCUUAUGUUAUUCUUCUGUGCAUGUGACCUUCUAUAAUCAUGCGUAUAUCUGUAACCUGUACAUAGGAUAAACCUUCAUUUUUUGGUUCAACUCCUUCAAUGUUGCAGGUAUCUGGCCAAGAUUUUAGUACCUGAAGGUUCAAACUAUGUUUAGGUUGGACAUCCCGUUUUUUUUUUCACGGUUGAAGACUCCAAGGAUAUUGCAAAGAUACCUGCGGAUACCUCCUUUAGAGUAUUGAAGUUGAUGCCACUGAACAAAGCCUAGAAUUGAGACACAUCAGCCCAACAGCUAAGACGCUCAUCAAGGAACAUGGUCUUAAGAUCUCCUUGCUGAAGGCAUCAUGUCGAUGUGGGACUCUUCUGAAAGGUGACAUUUUGGCUGCAUUGAAGGCAUGCACUGCUUCAAGUUCAGCCAAAGAAAAGACAGCUCCCAACCAGCUUGUGAUUCCCAAACUCAAUCUCUAACCAUUUCACAAAAAAGCGGUACAUUUCAAUAUAUGACCAAUACUCAGAUAUGCAAGGUACAGUGUCUGGCUGCGUAUUCAUUUCUGUUGCAUCAACAUGUACUUUAUAAAAAAAAUCUUAAUUCAGAUUUGUAUUGGGAACAUAUGAAAACCUCUAAAAGAAGGAUAACCAAUCUAACUCAAAUCCUAUUUUAUAUUUAGGUUAACGUUAGAAUUCAUGUCUUUUUUUAACCUUGUUGGUAGCAACCACAUUAUUGGUUUUUUUUUUUUGCCUAAUUGUUUUGUUUAGUUUCCUUGAUUACUAUCAUAAUUUGGUUUCCUCUGUCAUGAUUAACCCACUGAUAUUUUCUUGUCCAUCAUGUUAUAUACUAGUAGCUCAAAUGGCACAUGGCUUGAUUGUAGCGAGUAUUCCAAGAAGUGAUAUUUCCAUCUUGUUUUCUCUUCCUUUUAUUGGUCACAAAAACCAAUUAAUGGAGAACAAGUAAUGCUGGUGUAUUAACGAGUUGAUAACCGUCUAGAUGCAUACGAUUUUUUUAAGCAUGAUGUGUGGAACUGUUGAUGUGGUCAAUCUUAAAUUCCCGAGCUAUAUUUGCCACUGUAUUUAUGCCGCAUGAGGCUCCUUAGCUGAAACGUCAAUUAUCUUGUCCUGGUUGAUGUAUUGAGCAUUCCCCGAGGAUCAAUGAUAUUGGAGGUGGGGAUUUUCCUGUUAGUUAUAUGAAACUUUACAAGCUCCUUAGCUGAAACGUCAAUUAUCUUGUCCUGGUUGAUAUAUUAAGCAUUCCCUGUGGUUCAAUGUUAUUCAAGGUGCCGAAUUUCUCUGCUAUAUGCAUGGUUUUAAAGGCGCCAAGACGUCCCAAGGCGAUGGGGGGGCGCCUCAACGCCUAGGCGCUCAAAGCGCAUUGCAAGGCGACGCCUUUGAGGCUGCCUUGCUGGAAGCAAAGCAUCAGCUAGGUAGGAUGAGCACAGGCAAGCAGAGGCAAAGCAGGCAAGAAGAAGUGCAUCACAUACACACACCAGACACCACCAAGGCACCAAGAGAAGCUGUCAUGGAAGCUGUACAUUGUUUCCCCUCUGGGAGAGGGAUGCACCAGUGGGAGGAGUCGCCAGAAGCUUGGCCGGAGCUGGGGAGGCCGGCAGAUGAAGGAGCAGCAGCAGAUCUGUCCAGAGUUGGGGAGGUCGCGUGAGAGGAGCUCCCCCUCUCUCUCUUCCCUCUCUUUCCCCUAUAGAUGGCCCUCAAUUUCCCUCCCUGCCCGCCAUUUCUGUUUUCCCCUCCUGCCAGCCCAAAGUUUCCCGCGCACAGAACAGAGGCGUCCAGAUUCUUGCAAGGCGGCGAUUUCGCGCCUAGGCGACGCCUUUGGACGCCUCAGAGACGCCUUUGGACGCCUUGGGCAGAAAACAAAGGCGACGCCGACGCCUUGCCCUCCUGGAACGCUCGGACGCUUAAGCGUCGCUUCGGCGACGCCUUUAAAACCAUGGCUAUAUGAAACUUCACUUGAUUUGGUAUAUGGAUAUCAAUAUGCUCAUGAGAAACAACUAGUCUCUUCGCAAGCUCAGACUUGUUUUUUUGUGGACUUAGCUUUGUUACUAUAUAUAUUCUGACCUGUCCCUUCUCUGAUUCCGAUUGAGCUUUGUUACUAUACUUGGAGGCUUAUGUAAUGUUUUACAUGAGCAGUUCUUACUGAUACAGUCUCACAACAUUCUAAAUUGUUAAACUAUGCACCUCCACUUCUAAUCUUAUUCGGGUUGAAGUCCCCAUUUCGUUGUUACACUUUUGUUCAUGGUUUGACACUUGUAAUUUCGGUGAAAGCUUUUCUCUGCUUAUUCCUAAGAUAAUACGGUCCUCUUUUUAACCUUUCUUGCUGUGCACAUGCUUUUCAGUAUCUUCUCAUCUUGAGUUUACCUUUUUUGUUUCCUUUGGAUUAUGUGUUGUUUUACUUUUUGGUCCUCAAAUUGCCAACCAGCUUGGUUAGGUUUGAUACUUUUUGAUAAUCAGAUCCUCCCUUUUUUCCAUGAAAACUCAACGUUUAAAAAAGUGUACGCUCAGGCGCACUUAAGCGGGGAUUAUAGCGAAGUAGUGGAAUACCGCUUCGUUUCAGGCCUGAGCGGGAGGUUAAGCGCUGAGUGCGAUUAAGUGUUGUGAUUAGGCGAUGGGCAUCACCUAAGCGCGCAGAAGCGGGCAGAAGUGAAGGAAAGCGCAGUGUUGAGCGUCCAUGGUCGCCGGUGGCAAAGCGAAAAAUUGAGGGUAGGUGGGAGGGACUAGUAGAAUAUAGGGUUCCUGGGCACCCCAACGGAUCAUUCCCCCGCACACGAGACACAAAGAGAGACAGGGGAGAGAAGCAGCGGCGGCACACCCUUGCUGCUCCACCGGUGACGCUGCGCCUCCAGUGCCCUCCACCUCCUCCUCUAGGCCGGUGGGAUGUCUACUCCCCUCCUCCAAGCAGGCUGCCCAUCCCGCUCAUCCCCUCUAGAUUUUUUGAUCUAUCCGUUCUGAAAGUUGAAGGACCACUUUGUGCCUUUUAGCUUGCAAAUCUACAGUGCCAAAACUGAGCCUGGACCUCAAUUUUGAGUUCUCUCCUCUGAGUUCUACUGCUGCAGCCCACAGAAAUUUUUUUAUGUUGAGAGUGUCCCCAAAAUCUUUCAUUCUUUAUUACAAACUUUUAUGUCUUAAUUAUUGACAUCAGUCUUCCAUUUCAUAGUAGAAACAAUCAUUGUGCAAGUAUUAAACUUUGUGUAGCCAUAAAUUCUAUUUCAUCAUUGGAGUUGACUUUGUAUACUAUUCCGUUGUAGUUGUAAAUACACAAUCUUUUCCUAGAUCCAUUGUAAUCUAAAUUCUAUAAAAAUGGAAACAACAACUUUGGUCGCCAUGAUGGCAGCAUUUCGUGAUCGAGAGGUCAUGGGAUCUUCAGGACACUGUCAAUCGAUGCCAUGGUUGUCGGUAUUAAGAUCUCUCUUGUUUCUUCGUCUUAUGUUCCUUCAAAGUUCAAAUUGAUCUGAUCUGUUUCAUAUGCGUCUAUAGAUCAAUAUGGUUGCUGGGAGUACUAGGGCAGUGUAGUUGGGCAUAUCAAGCUGGAUACAUGGACCGAUGCAACAUCCAAGGCACAUCGGAGAGAGACUUGGAGCAAAAUAAGAAUGCGAGCGAGAGACUUGGAGAGAAGAUGCAUGUGAGAGACCUGUUGGAGAGAAGAAAAUGUAUCUUGUUUUGACCACUACACCCAUUCGAUGUGAUGAAGACUGCCCCUCAAGGCACGCAUAUGUCCAUGCAGUUGAUAGUCUUCUCCUUCAUGUUCUUCUGGAGGGGUUGGCUGAAUCAUCUGCGCUUGCAAUUCGUUUGCUGCAAUGGAUUAGGAGGUUUUAUGCCAUGAGGUGGAGGCGUUCCCGGUGCUAUUUGUAUGGAUGACAUCCAAAGUGACCCAGAAUGUCGGCAACAUUUGGUGAUCUAGAGGCCAUCAGCUCUUCAAGAUGGUGUAAUCAUCAUCUUCCUCAUGCAGCACAAUCCUAGGAACCACCAGCGUUUGUAUUCCUUGUGAUGUUCUUAAGCAGUGUUUACAGCUUGGAAUCUUUGACAAUGUAGGGGAGGCCAUUGGCAUACAAAAAGAUGGCACGAGGGGCUUCUUCCAUGGCAUUGGAGCAUCAGUUUGUCGUGAGUUUCCUUUCUAUAUUGCUGGAGUGUGCCCUUAUGGUGAAGCUAAAAUGUUGGCAAAGCAUGCCUUUAGCAUCUUCUAUAGCAGUUAGAGCAUUAUAUGGAGGCCUAUCACCACACCCAUUCAAUGUGCUGAAGACUACCCCUCCAGGCACGUGGGUCUCCAUGUGGUUGACAGUCUUCUCCUUCAUGUGCUUCUGGAGGGGUUGACUGCAUCCUCUGCGCUUGGAAUUCGUUUGCUGCAAUGGAGACGAGCAGAAUUUGGUCAGCUCGUAAUGCGAAUAUGCCUCAAAAUGUAGUGACAUAAAAGGCAACUACGACAAGAGUAGGAGACCUCAUGGAGGGCAAAAUUUCAAGUUAGUGGCGACAACAAAAUAUGUAGAGUAUGUCCAGAGUCGGACUUGCAGCAGCGCUCAGCUUAUCAGUUUGAUUGGCUUACCUAGUGGUAGUGCAAAAUUACCUCCGAUGCUCACUUUUAUUCAUGCCUAGGAAAAGAUAUCCAGUGACAUGCUUGGCAAACCAAACUUGAUGGUUAUCUUUUGUUGAAAGCUAACAUGUACGAUGAGACCUGAUGAGACCUGCCAGAUCAACUGCUGAGGGAGCGGUGCACACCGGGAGUGGUUGGCAGUUUGUUGAGGUGGUUUUGGUGGAGGGGAGAGGUGGAUGCGGCAUGUCCUAGUGUAGCAGCAGGAGCGAGAGGGAGAAGUGUGUGUGUGCAGGAGGGAGCUACCAUGGCCACCAGAUCUGACUAGCCGGACUUGCUUUUUUCCCCUGUUAUUGAGCUGAUGGAUGUUAGUUGCUCCAGCGAUGUGGUAUUUUGUUUCCUAGAAGAUCGAGGGCGAUGUCAUGCUAUCGCAGUAGCUUGUCAUAGAAUAGAAAAUGCUAGCUAGCUCCUUUAGAUUGUAUAAUGUUAUGUGAAGCCUAGCUUAAGAUUGCUAUCAUGUUCAACAUGUAGAUUCGGCAAUGAAAGCCAUUGGCAGCAUAAUAUUUGAAGGCCAGUGAAAACUUGAAUGAAACGUUUGUAAAAUUCAGCAUCUUGGCUUUGUGUUCAUGUGUACAUAGUAUAAAUAUGUUUUGUAUU
Molecule: non-coding RNA, 5548 nt
Organism: Lolium perenne
Lineage: Eukaryota; Viridiplantae; Streptophyta; Magnoliopsida; Poales; Poaceae
Source: RefSeq, a predicted model, not a curated record